UUCACCAUUUUAGCACCCUGUCCUGGAGUUUCAUGGAAAGUAAAGGCAAUGAUGAGAAAUGCAUCUUAAGGCAAAACAGCUCAAAGGACGUCAGGUUUCUGAUUCUUCUUAGAACCUGGACUGCCUGUUUAAUAAAUCCAUGGGUUUUUGCUUACCCAUAAAAACAGAGUCCUGGAUUUUUGUUUGGAGGGCACCAAAAGGUUUUCUUUUAUCCAACAAAGAUGGCUGUUCGGACAAUGCCAAGGAUACACAAGGAUUUUCCAGGGGAAAAACUUCAGUUUUGAAUUUUGCAUUUAAAAAUACACUAAAUGAAUAAGUAUA
This is a long non-coding RNA of Mauremys mutica (yellowpond turtle), 321 nucleotides long. RefSeq lists it as uncharacterized. The record is from RefSeq and is a predicted model, not a curated record. The transcript is spliced from 3 exons. NCBI's taxonomy places the organism in Eukaryota, Metazoa, Chordata, Testudines, Geoemydidae.